RNAcentral lists this ribosomal RNA (418 nucleotides) under Anaplasma phagocytophilum. Its description in RNAcentral is "bacterial SSU rRNA". It matches the Rfam family "Bacterial small subunit ribosomal RNA", at positions 57 to 503 of the family's 1533-position model. Lineage: Bacteria; Pseudomonadati; Pseudomonadota; Alphaproteobacteria; Rickettsiales; Anaplasmataceae. The record is from RNAcentral.
GCAAGUCGAACGGGUUAUCUUUGUAGCUUGCUAUAGAGAUAAUUAGUGGCAGACGGGUGAGUAAUGCAUAGGAAUCUACCUAGUAGUAUAGGAUAGCCACUAGAAAUGGUGGGUAAUACUGUAUAAUCCCUGCGGGGGAAAGAUUUAUCGCUACAUGAUGAGCCUAUGUUAGAUUAGCUAGUUGGUAGGGUAAAGGCCUACCAAGGCGAUGAUCUAUAGCUGGUCUGAGAGGAUGAUCAGCCACACUGGAACUGAGAUACGGUCCAGACUCCUACGGGAGGCAGCAGUGGGGAAUAUUGGACAAUGGGCGCAAGCCUGAUCCAGCUAUGCCGCGUGAGUGAGGAAGGCCUUAGGGUUGUAAAACUCUUUCAGUAGGGAAGAUAAUGACGGUACCUACAGAAGAAGUCCCGGCAAACUC